GUUCCCUUCAGCAGCACAUAUACUAAACUUGAAACCAUACAGAAAAGAUUAGCACAGUCCACGUGCAAGGAUGGCACCAAAGUUCAUGAAGCAUGCCAUAUUUUA
Small nuclear RNA from Onychomys torridus (southern grasshopper mouse), 105 nucleotides. The record is from RefSeq and is a predicted model, not a curated record. NCBI's taxonomy places the organism in Eukaryota, Metazoa, Chordata, Mammalia, Rodentia, Cricetidae.